AAAUUUUUCAAGAAGAACCUUACAGAAAUGUUGAAAGGCAUUCUCAGUUUGGAGGUAAAUAUUUUCAUAUUGUUUAUUUGACUGCUUAUACUAUUUAUUUUAAGCAAGUUUGGUCCUUGAAAUAAUUAUUUGUUUCACAAAAUUGAGUUCAGCUAUCAACUUAUUAAACCUUUAACUUUUGCAGUCUAUCCAUAAAAGUCCUUGGAAUAGAGCUUGAUGCAUAUGAUUUAACUUCCAUUGAUCUCUUCCCACCCCAGACUCUCGAACUUCUGAAAUUACAGCCUGUGAAUGAGUAAGAUGCUAUUCCGUUUAUAGAAGUACUUGGAGAAGCAAAAAAUAAUCCGGGACACCUGGUCAAUUUUGCCAUGCAAUCAAAUUUUGGACAUACUUGUUUUACACUGCUGCGUUUGUCACUUGUCCUGAAUGUCAUAUCUGAUGAACUUAUCAUCUUAAUUGCCAAUUCGCUUCCAUUUUUAGUUGAGCUGGAUCUUGAAGACAGAACAAGCAUUGAACCAAAACUGCCUCAUGACUUCACUAACGCUGGGCUACAAUCUCUAGGCUUGUUUCAGCACCUCACCUCUCUGUCAAUUGUAGGCAGUAGACUGAAUUUUCCAGUGUCCUUUAAAAGAGUAAAUGGUUUGGGCUUAAUGCUUCUUUCUUAAGAGUUGCAGAGGCCUAGAGUCUGGGAGACUUGGUGGGUUUUCUACAGUUACUGAUGCAGGGUUUUUGUCCAUUUUAUGCUCUUGCUAUAAUUUGAAGAAAUUUGAAGUUUGCAAUGCACCACUAAUGUCAGACUUGGCUUUUCACGACACCAAUGAGGUCGUCUUACUGAUCUGAGAUUCUUGUCGUGCAACCUCAUAACUAGCAAAGCUGUGGCUGAACUUGCUGCAUCUACUAUAUCGAAGUGCUUGUUCUUAGGGUUGCAGGAGCAUCGCCAACCCCUGUCUCGACUUCAUAUCACUCCUUAGUACACUAACCACGCUAAAUCUAGGAGGAGCUGAUGUCACAUUGGCAAUGGUCUUGCUGUUUUGGGUAAAGGGGACUUACUGAUGAACGUUUGAGUCUUGAGGAUGUGUGAGAGUCACUGAUGGAGGAAUAUUCUCCUUACUCAAUGGUGGGGAGAAAAUCAAGAAGACGUUAUCAUCUCUAGAUAUCGGUCACAUGCCAGGAAUAUUAGAUAGAGGUAUCAAAACCAGGGGUGGACACACUCGACUCGAUUUUCAAAUUUUUGAUUUUUCUUGAGGUUUUUCAAGUUUUUCAGGUUUUUUCCUAUGAUUUUUUGGUUUCGCCUCCACUGAAUUUUCAUCCUGGGUCCGCCUCUGAUCAAAACAAUUGUUUCUAGCUCGAGCAAUUACUGAACCAUAUAUGAGGUAUUGCUUUCGUGUGACUAAGGCUGCUUUGAAAAUGUUGGCUUCUGAGAAAUCCAAUAGAAUUAAUUUGCUUCAAAGACUUGACCUUUGUCAUUGCAUGAG
Molecule: long non-coding RNA, 1472 nt
Filed under: Olea europaea subsp. europaea
Lineage: Eukaryota; Viridiplantae; Streptophyta; Magnoliopsida; Lamiales; Oleaceae
Source: RNAcentral